UGGGGGGAUAUUGCACAAUGGGGGAAACCCUGAUGCAGCGACGCCGCGUGAGUGAAGAAGUAUUUCGGUAUGUAAAGCUCUAUCAGCAGGGAAGAAAAUGACGGUACCUGACUAAGAAGCCCCGGCUAACUACGUGCCAGCAGCCGCGGUAAUACGUAGGGGGCAAGCGUUAUCCGGAUUUACUGGGUGUAAAGGGAGCGUAGACGGCUUUGCAAGUCUGAUGUGAAAGGCAGGGGCUCAACCCCUGGACUGCAUUGGAAACUGCAGAGCUUGAGUGCCGGAGGGGUAAGCGGAAUUCCUAGUGUAGCGGUGAAAUGCGUAGAUAUUAGGAGGAACACCAGUGGCGAAGGCGGCUUACUGGACGGUAACUGACGUUGAGGCUCGAA
This 386-nucleotide ribosomal RNA is filed under the name uncultured Blautia sp. Its description in RNAcentral is "bacterial SSU rRNA". It matches the Rfam family "Bacterial small subunit ribosomal RNA", at positions 354 to 757 of the family's 1533-position model. The record is from RNAcentral. Lineage: Bacteria; Bacillati; Bacillota; Clostridia; Lachnospirales; Lachnospiraceae.